This 1546-nucleotide ribosomal RNA is filed under the name Salmonella enterica. RNAcentral's name for it is "partial 23S ribosomal RNA". It matches the Rfam family "Bacterial large subunit ribosomal RNA", at positions 1273 to 2802 of the family's 2925-position model. The record is from RNAcentral. RNAcentral also lists the same sequence under 6 other names. Lineage: Bacteria; Pseudomonadati; Pseudomonadota; Gammaproteobacteria; Enterobacterales; Enterobacteriaceae.
CUGGAGGUAUCAGAAGUGCGAAUGCUGACAUAAGUAACGAUAAAGCGGGUGAAAAGCCCGCUCGCCGGAAGACCAAGGGUUCCUGUCCAACGUUAAUCGGGGCAGGGUGAGUCGACCCCUAAGGCGAGGCCGAAAGGCGUAGUCGAUGGGAAACGGGUUAAUAUUCCCGUACUUGGUGUUACUGCGAAGGGGGGACGGAGAAGGCUAUGUUGGCCGGGCGACGGUUGUCCCGGUUUAAGCGUGUAGGUGUGUGUUCCAGGUAAAUCCGGUUCACUUUAACACUGAGGCGUGAUGACGAGGCACUACGGUGCUGAAGCAACAAAUGCCCUGCUUCCAGGAAAAGCCUCUAAGCAUCAGGUAACAUCAAAUCGUACCCCAAACCGACACAGGUGGUCAGGUAGAGAAUACCAAGGCGCUUGAGAGAACUCGGGUGAAGGAACUAGGCAAAAUGGUGCCGUAACUUCGGGAGAAGGCACGCUGACACGUAGGUGAAGUGAUUUACUCAUGGAGCUGAAGUCAGUCGAAGAUACCAGCUGGCUGCAACUGUUUAUUAAAAACACAGCACUGUGCAAACACGAAAGUGGACGUAUACGGUGUGACGCCUGCCCGGUGCCGGAAGGUUAAUUGAUGGGGUCAGCGCAAGCGAAGCUCCUGAUCGAAGCCCCGGUAAACGGCGGCCGUAACUAUAACGGUCCUAAGGUAGCGAAAUUCCUUGUCGGGUAAGUUCCGACCUGCACGAAUGGCGUAAUGAUGGCCAGGCUGUCUCCACCCGAGACUCAGUGAAAUUGAACUCGCUGUGAAGAUGCAGUGUACCCGCGGCAAGACGGAAAGACCCCGUGAACCUUUACUAUAGCUUGACACUGAACAUUGAGCCUUGAUGUGUAGGAUAGGUGGGAGGCUUUGAAGUGUGGACGCCAGUCUGCAUGGAGCCGGCCUUGAAAUACCACCCUUUAAUGUUUGAUGUUCUAACGUGGACCCGUGAUCCGGGUUGCGGACAGUGUCUGGUGGGUAGUUUGACUGGGGCGGUCUCCUCCUAAAGAGUAACGGAGGAGCACGAAGGUUGGCUAAUCCUGGUCGGACAUCAGGAGGUUAGUGCAAUGGCAUAAGCCAGCUUGACUGCGAGCGUGACGGCGCGAGCAGGUGCGAAAGCAGGUCAUAGUGAUCCGGUGGUUCUGAAUGGAAGGGCCAUCGCUCAACGGAUAAAAGGUACUCCGGGGAUAACAGGCUGAUACCGCCCAAGAGUUCAUAUCGACGGCGGUGUUUGGCACCUCGAUGUCGGCUCAUCACAUCCUGGGGCUGAAGUAGGUCCCAAGGGUAUGGCUGUUCGCCAUUUAAAGUGGUACGCGAGCUGGGUUUAGAACGUCGUGAGACAGUUCGGUCCCUAUCUGCCGUGGGCGCUGGAGAACUGAGGGGGGCUGCUCCUAGUACGAGAGGACCGGAGUGGACGCAUCACUGGUGUUCGGGUUGUCAUGCCAAUGGCACUGCCCGGUAGCUAAAUGCGGAAGAGAUAAGUGCUGAAAGCAUCUAAGCACGAAACUUGCCCCGA